GCACGAUACCCAGUGAGAUUUUUGAGUAUGAGAAUCUUACUAUGUUGGAUCUUAGUACAAAUAGCCUAUCUGGGACCAUACCAGAAAAGAUUGGAAUGCUCUCCAAUUUGAAAACUCUCGACCUUUCUUCCAAUCAACUAACCGGAAGACUUCCGGCUACUUUAUCCAACAUCUCAGCCCUCUGUCGAUUCGCAGCUAAAAGAAACAACUUAACUGGAAAUAUUCCAAGUAUUUCCAAAUUUUUGUGUGUUUUGGAUCUCAGCUACAACAACCUUGGUGGGGAGAUCCCAUCUGAUCUCCUCGCAUCUCCUAAUUUGGAGUAUGUUUAUCUCUUUGGUAAUCGUCUCAGAGGGGCUAUUCCCACAAAUCUAUCUAUAGGGCUUUUCAUUCUGCAACUCAGUGGAAACCUUCUAUCUGGAAUAAUCCCGACAUCAAUAGGAAAGCUCUCGAAAUUGGAUUACUUGGAUCUCUCUUCGAAUGCGCUGUACGGCGAGCUACCAAAGGAGAUUGGUAAUCUUCAUGAAUUGGUCUCCUUGGAGCUUCAAAUGAAUAAUCUUAGCGGGGAGAUCCCAUUUGAUUUUCUUGCAUCUCCUAAUUUGGAGUAUGUUGAUCUCUCUAGUAAUCGGCNAAGUCCCUUAAUCUCAGCUACAAUGAUUUGGGUGGCCCGGUUCGUAAUUUCUCGAGCUUUGCCAGUUUGGAGACUCUGGGCUUGUCCUAUAACUCCUUACAAGGAACUGUUGCAACCCAGUUGAGUUCCUUAUCCAAAUUGAAAAGCUUGAAUCUUGGCUCUAAUUUAUUGAUGGGAACCAUCCCCACUUUCGUCACCGACGGUAGAAGAGUUGCGGCCUUUGAAGAGCUUGUGCUUUCAAAUAAUCAAUUCACUGGCAUGAUACCCAGUGAGAUUUUCGAGUAUGAGAAUCUUACUAUGCUGGAUCUCAGUACAAAUAGCCUAUCUGGGACCAUACCAGAAAAGAUUGGAAUGCUCUCCAAUUUGAAUGCUCUCGACCUUUCUUCGAAUCAACUAACCGGAAGACUUCCGGCUACUUUAUCCAACAUCUCAACGCUCUUUCGAUUCGCAGCUAAAAGCAACAACUUAACUGGAAAUAUUCCAAGUAUUUCCAAAUUUGUCAGUUUUUUGGAUCUCAGCUACAACAACCUUAGUGGGGAGAUCCCAUCUGAUCUUCUCGCAUCUCCUAAUUUGGAGUAUGUUGAUCUCUCUGCUAAUCAGCUCGGAGGGGCUAUUCCCACAAAUUUAUCUAUAGGGCUUCAAUUUCUGCAACUCAGUGGAAACCUUCUAUCUGGGAUAAUCCCGGCAUCAAUCGGAAUGCUCUGGCAGCUGGCAUAUCUAGAAUUGGAUAAUAACAAUUUGUAUUCUGAGAUACCAUCGCAACUGGGGAACUGCCGCAAUUUGGCAUACUUGGAUCUCUCUUCGAAUGCGCUGCACGGCGAGCUACCAAAGGAGAUUGGUAAUCUUCAAAAUUAUUUAGAGGUGCUGGCGCUUCAAAUGAACAAUCUUAGCGGGCAGAUACCUAUUGAAAUGCUUGAGCUACAGAGCUUGCAAGUAUUGAAUCUCGGCGGUAAUUCAUUCACGGGUGAGAUAUUACCAAUAAUUUCUAACUUCCAUCAGCUUUCAAACCUAGGCCUUCAGCGCAAUAAGUUCAUCGGGACGAUUCCCAAUUCAAUCAAUGGUUUGCAAAAUCUGAUAGAACUCAACCUGGGUAGCAACCUUUUUGACGGGCCGAUAUCUCCAAACAUUGGAGAUUUACACUUUCUAGAAAUUCUCGAUCUCUCGUAUAAUCAUUUCUCAGGUCAAGUGCCUGAUUCUCUUUCCACCAUUCCAAAUUUGACGAAGCUGGCACUUUCUUACAAUAAUCUCUCAGGGGAUCUUGAUCUCUCAAGAUUUUUGCCAUCAGUGAAUGUCGUAACCAUUGGAAAUAAGAAUCUUAUAAUUUUGAACGGAAGUGCUGAAUCCAAUUCGCCCGGAAAUGACGUUUUUGUUACUACCGAUUCGUCGAAAAGAAAGAUCAAGUUUGCCUUAGUCGUGGUUUCUUCUUUUGUGGCCGGUUUUUCGGUUUCAUUCCUCAUGUCUUCACUGACUUGGAAAUUCUUGAUUCGUAAAAAAGCAGCCGACGCACAAGAAGAAGACCGCCUUUCUGAUUUGAACAACAGGAAGAGGCUGCAGAUGGUACAGAGGCUGAGGAUGUUUCACGAACGGUACUACUUGGGACAGCUCACCACUGCAUUAGAAGCUCUUUAAUUAGGGAGUUUUUUUAAAUUUUGAAGCCCAAAAACUCUUUCUAGCUUAUCGCCGCAGUAGGACGUCUAGAUAUCUCUGUUUGCUAAAUGUGUCAAUACUGCUUCUUAGAAUAGAGAAGCAGUUCAAGGCCCAAGAGCCUCUUAAUAAUGUAUGCUAUCAUGGGACAAGCAAGGUUGAAAUUCAGAGACAGAAAACCUCUUGAUUUUUUAUGCGUGAUAAAUACAAGAAAAAAUUGAUAUGUCAUCGCAGAAUAAAAUCCAACUGAAAGUAAAAAAGAAAAAAAAAAAAAAAGGGGGAAAAACCAAAUAAUUAAUAACAUGUCUUUUCAAGAAAGAGGAAUGUGUGGCGGCUUCUUUAUAAACAUAUUUAUUAGACUAGACUAAGCAUAAAAAAAAAUUUCAACUCAGCUCAUAACAAGAUGUCGAAAACCCUGACAGUAAAGAUUGUAUAGAUAAUAUAUGUUUACUGUACCAAAACAGGUAGGUACUGCAUAUUAAUUCAUAACCAUAACCUUAAUAACUCAACAUCUCUCAGCACUUCGUAUGUAGAGAUUGCCUCAUAAACUCGCCUCCAUUUUCGCGAAAGCUGUUCAAGAACAUUAUAACUACGAAUAACAUUGUGAUGUGGAAAAUCCAACUGUAUCCAUAUCAAAAUCUUUGUUAGUUAAUUCGCGAAUUAUUCGCGAAUUUUUGAAGAAACGAAUUUAUCGGCCGUAUUCGUAUUUUUUUGAAAAAUUCAGAAAAAAAUACGUUUUUUUGGUCGAAAAUACUUAUUUGUGAAUAAUUCACGCGCCGAAUUAUUCGCCAAAAAUACGGUUCGCGCUCGCGCCUGCGCCCGCGCCCGUGCUCGAGGGUCGCGGGUCGCUGGUCUCGCGGCUCGCCCUAUAACACCCUGUACUUUUAAACUUCUUUAUUUGACUCCUAUUCUUAUUAAGUUUGGACCUUUUCGUAAAUUCCUAUCUUCGAGGGAUUCGGCGGCAUUUUGUUACUUAAUUAGUAUCUAACUUAAUUAAUUUUCUCCCUAACCCUCACCCGAUCAAUCCCUCUUUUUCCCCUCCCCUACGACUCGCUCUCUCUCUUCCUUACCGCAUCCGUACGACCUCUGUCGUUCCGCAAGUGCGCACGCGACACCAUCUGAUCGUCGCCAUCAUCCGUAGCCGCCUCCGCCGCAAUCCUCUUUGGCCGUUAUUUUUGGUUCACUAUCGAUGGCAUCCUGCCGUCAUUUUCACCAUUUUCGAGAAGGUUUUUCUUUUUCCCUUAUUUUAUCUCUAUAUCGAACCUUGUGAUCAUCCAACCUUCUUGUUUAUCGUUAUAUUAUUAUUUUGAAUACUCGCCUAAUGAUGAUCGAAAUUUAAAACUACCAAAAUCUGAUUUGCUUUGAUCUAAAUAUGUGUUAUUCGAUCUAUCAUUUUAUCUUGUAUUUCUAUCUGAUUUAGUUAUAUAAACCCUCCAUAUUCUGCAUGCUUCUUGUAACGCUCCUUACAUGUUCGAUAAAAUGCCUAAGAGAGGGCGAACUUUGUUUUUGUUUCUAAUUCCGAUCCUAUCUGAUUGUAAAUUGCCUAUUGAUAUUUCAACAUCUGAAAACCCUCUUUUCGAGCAUUAGAUCUUUCGUUUAUUAUUUAAAACUUCAUUCAUGUUAUCUUGUUUUUUGAAUAUUUUAAUCUUUGAAACUCAUCAUCCUCUUUGAUUGUUAAUUGAGUUUCGUCGAAUUUAAUAUUCUAAAUCCCUUUGUGCUCCAUCCCGACCUAUUUGCAUACCUUUAUAUCCCCUUUGCAUGUUCAUUUUGGUUAGCUUAUAGAGAAUCACGUAUCUCUAUUUUGGAUUCCGACGAUUGAAUUUUCGGCGCAUUCUCAACUGGAUAAUUUUUCUAUCUUUGAGGUAUUCGUUAAAGUAAGCGACCGAACACCCGUUAGUUUUUGUAAGAUAAUAUAGAAAAAUAUUUUGAUUAUAUGAAAAUCUUAUUUUGUAGAAUUUAAAAUUAAGGGUUAAGCAUAUUAUUAAAUAUUUCUGUAAAUUAAGUUUCAACCGUGAUUGACAAGUCCUUUUAGCAAAAUAAACUUUUGAAAUUUGAUAAUCUGCUCUGUAAAUUAAUGACUGGAUACACUUUGAAUUAUGAUGUCUCUUGGUAUUCUGCUAUGCUUAUGUUGGCCAUGUCGACAUGUACUUUGUUAUAGAAGCAAGCUUCGUCUUUGUAUUGCGCCUUCGGGUGCCUGCGCCUAUCCGCGCNUAGGGAUAAUAUUAUUAUUUUUUAUUUAUAACUAACAACUAUUCCUCUUAUUUUCAAUAACCAUCCAAACGCAAUUUUUUCUAGUUCCAACUUAUACUCAUAUUUUCAUCCAAAUAAAAAAAAAUAUCUUUAUCCUUACAAAAAUUCAUAUUUGUACACAUCCCCAGUAUAACUAGUUCCUACUAAUUCCCGAACCAAACAGUUUAGUGUUUGAGUAUAAGAAGGAGAAUAAGAGUUUAUUCCCCUCUUUAUAUCCCAUCCAAAUACCACCUAACAGAUCUUCCACUCCCAAUUUGACUCGAAAAUCAUGCCGACGAGGAUGUGUUUCCUCUCGAGGGCAUUCCACUUAGAAGUCACGAUUCGUCGCACAUUCCAUAAGCUCUUGUAUGGUAGAAAAUUCCCUCCGGCGAAAAGGGAAAGUGCUUCUGAGGCAAUCAGCUUGUCGAAGAAGCUCUACAUAUCCUUUUCACAUCAAGCAAGGCUCGAUGGUUACUUUUGCCUCCUAUUUGAAGCAGUAGACUCUUUCCCCUUUCCCAGGCAUGACAUUAGAGCUCCGUUGUACUACAUAAGCAGUUGCUGAAAUAUCAUUUCCUACCAGCUUAGUCAAAAAGCUGCUUCUAGAGGAAGCUGCAUAUCAGUCUAUUAGUGUAAUGACCUGCGCUUCGUGGCGGGAGGUCGUAAAGUUGAGAGCUAAUAAUAUGACUUUUAUUAUAUUUAUUUAUUACGAAACAUACAUAUAUAUAUAUAACAUUUACAUUAUGUAAGAUAACUAAAUAUAUAAUAUAGAUUAUCUAAUACGAUGUGAUGUCUUUAAUAAUACAAAUAUAAUUGAUAAAACAGUUCUUAGAUCAUUAUGGCCUAUCGGUUCCAUUUAAUUUCUUGCAGGUGUUAACUUUGCUUGGUCCUUUUCCAGUCUUCGAACUGCAUACGUAUGAACAAUAUCUCNUUGGAAAUAAGAAUCUUAUAAUUUUGAACGGAAGUGCUGAAUCCAAUUCGCCCGGAAAUGACGUUUUUGUUACUACCGAUUCGUCGAAAAGAAAGAUCCAGGUUGCCUUAGUCAUGGUUUCUUCUUUUGUGGCCGGUUUUUCGGUUUCGUUCCUCAUGUCUUCACUGACUUGGAAAUUCUUGAUUCGUAAAAAAGCAACCGAUGUGCAAGAUGAAGACAACCUUUCUGAUUUGAACAACAGGAAUAGGCUGCAGAUGGUACAGAGGCUGAGGAUGUUUCACGAACGGUAUUACUUGGGACAGCUCACCACUGCAUUAGAAGCUCUUUAAUUAGGGAGUUUUUUUAAAUUUUGGAGCCCAAAAACUCAUUUGAGCUUAUUGCCACAGUAGGACCUCUAAAUAUCUCUGUUUGCUAAAUGUAUAAAUGCUGCUUCUUAGAGUAGAGAAGCAGUUCAAGGCCCAAGAGCCUCUUAAUAAUGUUUGCUAUCAUGGGACAAGCAAGGUUGAAAUUCAGAGACAGAAAACCUCUUGAUUUUUUAUGCGUGAUAAAUACAAAAAAAAAUUGAUAUGUCAUCGCAGAAUAAAAUCCAACUGAAAGUAAAAAAAAAAAAAAAAAAAAAANAAUUAAUUUGUGUAUCCAUUUAUUGUAUGCUUAAUCCGACUAAUGUGGUGUAUGGUUGCUUACCCAGGUACCGAGACCGAUUUGCCGGGCGGGGCUGAGACUGAGUGAACGUUAGACGUAGCAAGUUUUGAUUUUAGUCUCUUUUGUUUUUACAUCUAGUAUUUUUGAAUUAUCUAUGAUCGUUUGUUAUCUAUUUUGUUUCGUUAUAUCUUCAUACCCACUUUUGUCACUUAUGGUAUUUUCGAACCUCUCUUGUGAUUCGUAGUAAGCUUUAGUUCUAUAGAAGUUAGAAUUUCAUUUGAUUUUAGUUAAAAUUUAAUUUCUUAGUCUCAUCCUAUGAUUCUUUGGAUUUAGUGGAAAAUUUGGUAAUCAUCUUUUGCUAGCUUUUGUCUGAUUCUAUAGCCUUGCAUAUUUGCUAGUUUAGUAGGUAUGCGGCGUCUGUUAAGCCUCGGGUUUGGGGCGUGACACGCCCAAAUCAGGAAAAAUUUAAAAAAACCCCUUUCCAAACAAAAAAAAAAACCGUUCAAAAAAAANAAUAACAUGUCUUUUCAAGAAAGAGGAAUGCGUGGCGGCUUCUUUAUAAACAUAUUUAUUAAACUAGACUAAGCAUAAAAAAAAUUUCAACUCAGCUCAUAACAAGAUGUCGAAAACCCUGACAGUAAAGAUUGUAUAGAUAAUCUAUGUCUACCGUACCAAAACAAGUAGGUACUGCAUAUUAAUUCAUAACCAUAACCUUAAUAACUCAACAUCUCUCAGCACUUCAUAUAUAGAGAUUGCCAAAAUACAUACUACCAUCCUAAUAGGCAGCAAGACUGUCAUCCAAUGCGAGAAUGCAAUAGUAGGAAGCUUCUGUAUGACUCGUUUACCUCAUAAACUGGCCUCCAUUUUCUCAAAAGCUGCUCAAGAACAUUAUAACUACGAAUAAAGUUGUGAUGUGGAAUUUGGGAGGAUAGCUGUAACAAAAAAGGAGUUCAGAGGAGAAAAGAGCUAACGACUAUUGCUGCCAUGUGGUGGGGAGUUCUUUGGCUUGAGCGGAACAGUAGAGUCUUUGAGAAUAAAAAAAGCCCGCCUAGUCUUCUAUUAGUCAAGAUCCGUUCGCUUAGAGACCUUUGGUUACGGUUUUGUCUUCUAAAUAGAGCCUGAUCUUCACCUUCUUUUUUUUUGUUUGUUUCGCCACCAGGCCCGGCUGCCUCAUACUGAGCCAAGUUCAUUUUCUUAAUGAAUAAAGCAGUGGCAUGCUACCUUCUCUCUCUCAAAAAAAAAAAAAAAAAAAACAACAUUGUGAUGUGAAAAAUCCAGCUGUAUCCAUAUCAAAAUAUGUCGAACAAAAGGAAAAGGAGAAAAUGAGCAACAAGAAGGAACUUACUGCUGUAGUUGAAUAGCUAGCUUCUCGAUUCGGUCAAACAUGUGUCAUGAGCAUUUGCCAGCAACAAGCAUCUAAGCUCAUCCCUUAAACACGGGAAAAAAAGAGACAAAUCAUGGGUGUAGAUAAGAAGAUCUUACCCAAACUAGAUAGCAUUUUGAAAUUUGUAUCUAAACUUCAAAAAUUCUGAUUUUACUGCCUAACCUUACUUUUCUUUUCAGUGUGUUUGGCACCAAAUCUAAAUGUGAUUCAGUAGAUUUCAAAAGACAAGAAUUCAGUUGAAUUCAUUUAGAAAUGAAAUCUUUUGCUUGCAAUAAAUUAUAACUCAAUUUGAAUUUCAUUCCGUAUUGUCGUGUACUUGUUAUAACCCUGCUCUCCCCGUCUUCGAUUUUCAUGUUGCAGCCCAAAUUAGCGGAUAAAAAUUUGGUGGACAUAGUUUCCAAAAAUAAUAGUUUGGGGAUCAUCUGGAUCGACGCCAUGUGACUAGCUGUACUCAUCUCAACUGUUCAAAAAAAAUAUUAUUUUUACUGGAUUAAAAUAUUUAAAAAUUUUAUUUUUAUUUGGCGAUUGAGAUGGGCUCUGCUUGCCACAUGGCGCCAAUCUGAACAAUCUCCAAAAUAUUUUUUUAAGAAUAAGAUAGCGUGCUACCCGCUUUAUUUAUUGAACUGAUGAAUUAGGCUACACGAGUGUCACAGCUGAGCCUCGAACCGGAUGGAAAAAUAAUAAUAAUAAUAAUAAUGUUUGGGGACGGACACUAGCGUGCGAUUGUGUGGGCCCCAAUGAUGGGCGUACGGAGACGACGGGGCGCAGGGGCACCGUUGAUUUCUACGUCUCGAUCGCAUGGAGCGGAGGAUGCGCGCAAGAGCCGAGUUCCGUUAUCCGAUCCUGACCGUCCGAUUAGCAGAUCGAACCUCACGGGGUUGGAAACCGAUCGCGAGGUAUCCUGCGAAAUUGGACGGGGUUGGAACCUUCUCUCUGGGGUAAUCCCGACAUCAAUCGGAAAGCUCUCGCAGUUGGCACAUCUAGAAUUGGAUCAUAACAACUUGUGUUCCGAGAUACCGCCACAGCUAGGGAACUGCAAAAUGAAAAUAGGGUUAUGAAAAAUGAAUUUGAUUAUGAAAAUUUGUAAGAUCCAUCCAUAUUGAUUUGAUGAGGGAUCUUAUGAUGACUAGACUAAUUAGAAUAGGACCACAUUGCAUUUUCAAAAUUAAAUUUUUAUAAAUAGUUAUGAAAAAAUUUAUAAGAAAAUUAUUUAUUCUAAUUUUUUUAAAAAAUUUUUGUAAGAUCUAUCCAUAAAAAUUUAAUAUUUAAUAAUAAACAAUAUGUGACGCCCCGACUUCCCAGAGGGUCACCCAUCCUAGGACUACUCCCGUCCUAGCACGCUUAACUCUCUUAAGCUCUUGGGCCUUGCCACCACCCAAAAUGCUUAAGCCGGGUUAAGAGUUUAGCCUAUUAUAUCUUAUAUAUAGGACUAUCUGGGGUCUCACAAUCUCCCCUCCUUUAAGUCCUGACGUCCUCGUCAGGCUUAGACUCACAAGUACCAGACGAUGUGAGACUCGUCCGUCAUCCAGGACACUGACUCAGCCGAGACUAUCUAACACUUCCGGCGGUAAUUGGCUCUGAUACCCGACUUCCCAGGGGGUCACCCAUCCUAGGACUACUCCCGUCCUAGCACGCUUAACUCUCUUAACCUCUUAGGUCUUGCCACCACCCAAAAUGCUUAAGCCGGGUUAAGAGUUUAGCCUAUUAUAUCUUAUAUAUAGGACUAUCUGGGAUUUCACACAAUAUGAUGAAUAAUUAAAGCAAGUUUAUGUUAAAAAUUGAUUAACUUUUAAAUUUUUUUAUUUAUCUUUACUUUUUUGGACUUUAAAAAAUUGUAAAAUACAAAUUAGGGAAUAUUACUUGUUUCCUUAAAAUUCUUAUGCAAAUUUGCAAAACUCUUCUAAGAAAAUUAUUUUUUCUUAAAAUCUUUUAGAAAAAUUGUGAGAUCUAACUAUGAAAAUUUAACAAAAAAUCAUAUGACAAAUACAUAAAAAAAUUUAAAUAUCAAUAAUGUCAAUUUAGUUUUUUGACUUUAUUAGAAUUUUUAUGUUUCUAAAUUCAAUAAUAGAAUUUUCAAAGUUAAAAAUGUCUAAAUCUCAUAUAAAAUGCUAAAUCCAUCCAAGAAAAUUAAAAAUUGGACCAUAUAAUGACUAAACAAAGUGGAUUUAUUUUCGGAUUUUUGUGAAUUGUAAAUAAAACUUUGUAAUUUUCUAUGUAUCACUGACAUUUCUAUAAGCCUCGCAUGUUCGUGUCGUACACGCGCGUCCGUGUCAUACACGUGUCUGAUGUGGACACUUUUUGAACGCACGUUUAAUGUUGAUUCAUAGCGCAUACAACUAAAAUAAAUAUAUACAUAUUUUUUUUUUACUUUUUCUAUGCAUAUAUAAUGUAAGAUGAUAAAUAUUUUAGCUUUUUGAUCAAUACAUAUAAUUUUUUUUGACAAUACAAAUAAAUUAUCUAUGGUGGAGAAUUUUUUUCUUAAAAUAUAUGAAUUAUCAAUAAAAAUUUUACUCACUUUUAUUCGUAUGAAAAAUAUAGCAAUAUUUUACUAAAAUCAAUAUUUUAUAUAUAAUAAAAAUAUAUUAUUAUAUUGAUAAUAUUAUAUUUUAUUAGUGGUGAUCAUGUCGUGUCCGUAUUCUAAUUAAUAUUUUUAAAAGCUAUCGAGUCGCGGAGUCCGAGUCAUGUCGUGUUCCGUAUUUUGUGUCAGUGCACUUUUCCUUUUCCGAGGCACGACGUUAACUCGAGUACACAGCUUGAUCGUGCUACAUAACCGGUUGCUGAAGUACCAUUUCCUACUAGCUUAGUCGAAAGCUGCUUUUAGAGAAAACCACAUAUCAAUCUAUUAUGCUGAUGGGGCUUUUGGCGGUGCAGUUGUAUAGUCCUUUUCCUUCUUCCCACACUUUUCCUGCUAGGUUAUUAUUGUAGUCACACCAUGUAUUUACAUCAAUUCUUUUUAAUUUAUGUAUCAUAUAGAACGGGAAUUUGCAUUGUUUUUGAGAAACUUGUAUACAUUUCUUAUCUAGCGGAACGAAGAUCGAUCAAAUUCACAAUUUCGCUCUAUCUUUUGCUCCAUUGAAAAAUUGUCGAGAAUCUGAAUGGUGAUCAUGCAAGGUAUCAAUUCUCUUCUAGUUUUUACUGCUUUUUUAAUUCAUUGGUCACAGAACAUAUGGCGAAAUUCUCUAUAAAUUAUUGAAUUUUAAAUUUUUAAAAUUUAACAUGGUAAAGUUUCAGUAAACACUGUAACUUCUAUUUAAUAAAAGAAAGAUGUGGUUGUUAAUUCAGCUGACGCGUCGUCUCUUACAGAUAAUAAGAUUGUUGCAAAAUUGAUGUAACAAUUAAAUUAACUCACAUGUUAUCGACACAGGUACAAAUAUGUGUACUUUUUAAUUAUGUAUUUGUACCCGUUUGGGUAUCUUUGUAUGCAUAAUAUCUGUAUCCAAAUCUAAAUCCAUCUCCAACUAGUUGAAUAAUAUCCCAUUCAUUUUCACCCCUAGAUUGGAACCCGAAAAUCCAAACCAACCUGUUUAAUCGGAAGUAUAAAAAAAGAUAAAAUUAUAAAAAAAAAAAAUACUUCUUUUCUGGUAUUUUGAAGUUUUAUUUCAAUCACUUCAGCAUGUAUGCAGCUUAUGGACAUUUCGACUUUUCUAAAACAAAGUUAAUUAAAAAAAAAUGUCACAAGGAGAGAGAAAAAUAUAAAAUAGGAAUCAAGGAGAUUAAGACAUACAGAAAGUGUGAAAAGAACCAAAAAUUCAGAGUCAAUUUCUGACCACAAGUCAUAAGUCACCAAAAGAAGGGCUUUUUUUGCAUUUAGUCCCCUAGCAAAUUUUUAUUUUAAAAUUAGCCCGGUCAAAAUUUAAUUUGCAAAAAUGAUCCUGGACCUGCUAUGCAAGCGCCACGUCAGCGCCACGCGGGCAGGACCGGGGCGCGUGUGUUAAGUUGAACACGGUGAACCAUUCACUGUGUUCAAACACGGUGAAUGGUUCGCCGUGUUGAGUACGCAUUGUUAUUGAAAAGAGAAAUAGGGAGUAGGGAUGUCAAUAGGUAUGGAUAUACGAAAUAUUAUCCGAAUCCAAACCCGAAUAAAUUAUGUAUAUAUACAUAAUUUAUUUUUAUUUAUUUAUACAAUAUAUAAAAUAUUUAAUAAUUUUUAUUUCUUAGAUUUUCAUCUAACGGUAUAGAUUUUUAAAACCCGCUGGGUUCAGAUUCGGAUUUCGAGUUUUUGGUCGGAUAUGGAUAUGGGUAUGAAUUUUUAAAAUCCGUCGGGUUCGGAUCCGGGUUUGGAUUUUAAUUUGAUUUUCGGGUUCGAGUUCGGAUUUUUGAAAAAGAGAAGAAAAGGAAUACAAAUUUUCUAUUCCUCUUUUCAAUAUACAAAAAAUACAUACCAAACACAGUGAACCAUUCACCGUGUUUAGACACGGUGAAUGGUUCACCGUAUUUAACUUAACUACCGCUCCCAGUCCCGCCCGCGUGGCGCUGACGUGGCACCUGCGCGAUAGGUUUAGGGUCAUUUUUGCAAAUUAAAUUUUGACAGGACUAUUUUAAAAAAAAAAAUUUGUCAGGGGGCUAAAUGCAAAAAUAGCGCCCAAAAAAAAAGAAAAUUUCUUGCACAUUUCUCAUGAGUGCCCCUAAAUGUCCCUCUUAGAGUCCCCAAUUUAUAUUUCAUGUUGUGAAAUAACUAAUUAGUCUAAAAGCAUAAACUGCUAGAAAACAAUAUCAUUUUUUUAAGACCAAUACUUUUUGAUAGGCACUUUACACAGUAUUCCUUUUUUAAGACUCGAGAUUUCAAGAGAAAAUAUAAAGAGACUCAAAAAGUAUUCAAACUCUGAAUUUUCUAUUCUAAUAGUAUGUGAAACAAUCAAUUACUCUCAAAGCUUAAAUUGACAGAAAAUGGCAUCCCUAAUAUCUACAUUCAUCGUGGAUGUCUACACAAGUUUAGUCUUUAUUAUCUAUGACAACUGGGGUACCUUAUGUAGUAUCAUUUUAUAUAUAUAUAUAUAUCUAUGACAACUGGGGUACCUUAUGUAGUGUCCUUAUAUAUAAUAAAUANUGAAUUUUAAAUUUUAAAUUUUAAAUUUAAUUUUAAAUUUAUGCUUUGAAUCUAAAAUAAAAAUAAAAAUUUGAAGUUUAAGUCCAAAACCAGUUUUGGAGAAGCAUCUUUUUUCUGCUUCUUAUUCUGGAGUGUUCGAAAUCAGUUUUCUAAUUCUGAAAAAUUAAAUUAAAUUUUUCAUAUGUCGUUCCCAAACAUUCUAUUGAACUCAAAAGUGAUUUUAGGCUAAGAAUCACUCCUUAGAAGCUAGGCUAAAUACCCCUUUUGGCUGUGCAGUUGUAUAGUCCUUUUCCUUCUUCCCACACUUUUCCCUUAUUGUAGUUACCCCAUGUAUUUGCAUCAAUUCUUUUUCAUGUACGUUUCACAUAGAACAGGAAUUUGCAUUGUAUUUGAAACUCGUAUACAUCUCUUAUUUAGCGGAACAAAGAUCGAAUAAAUUUAUAAUUUCGCUCUAUUUUUGGCUCCAUUGAAAAAUUGUCGAGGAUCUGAAAGGUGAUCAAUUCUCUUCUAGUAUUUACUACUUUUUAAUCCAUUGGUCACAGAACAUAUGGCGAAAUUCUCCGUAAAUUAUGUUUCUGUACCCAUUUACGUUUCUUUGUAUGUGUAAUAUCCGUAUCCAAAUCUGAAUCCGUCCCCGACUAGUUGAAUAAUAUCGCAUUCAUUUUCACCCCUAGAUUGGAACCUGAAAAGCCAAACCGACCUAUUUAAUUGGAAGUAAGUACAAAAGAAGAUAAAAUUAUAAAAAAAAUACCUGUUUUCUGAUAUUUUUAGGUUUUAUUUCAAUCACUUCUGCAUGUGUGCAACUUACCGACAUUUUGACUCUUCUAAAACAAAGUUAAUUAAAAAAAAUGUCACAAGCAGAGAGAAAAAUAAAAAAUAGGAAUUAAGGAGAUUAAGACAUAUAGAGAGUGCGAAAACAUCCAAAAAUUCAAAGUCAAUUUCAAGCUACAAGUCAUAGGUCACCAAGGGAAACAAGAGAAUUUUCUUGCACAAUUCUCGUGAGCAUUGCUAUGGACACCCCAAAGUGUCCCUCUUAGAGUCCCCAAUUUAUAUUUCAAGUUGUGAAAUAACUAAUUAGUCUAAAUGUGAGAAAACAAUAUCAUUUUUUAAGAUCAAUACUUUUCCAUAGGCCCAAGAUAAGCACUUUAAACGGUCUCCCUUUCUGAAGGCUUGAGAUUUCAAAAAAAAUAUAUUGAGAAUUAAACUCAAAGAUAUUCGAACUCUGAAUCUUCCACUCUAAUAUCAUGUGCAACAAUUAAUUACUCUCAAAGCUUAAAUUGACGGAAAAUGGUGUCUCUAAUAUCUACAUUCAACACGGAUGUCUACACAAGUUUAGUCUCAUAUACAUUUCUUAUUUAGCAGAACGAAGAUUGAUUAAAUUCACAAUUUUGCUCUAUCUUUUGCUCCAUUGAAAAAUUGUCGAGAAUCUAAAAGGUGAUCAUACAAGAUGUAUCAAUUCUCUUCUAGUUUUUACUGCUUUUUUAAUCCAUUGGUCACAUAACAUAUGGCGAAAUUCACCGUAAAUUAUUGAAUUUCAAAAUUUGAAAACUUGACAUGGUGAAGUUUGAUUUCCAUUCCAGUAAACAAUGUAACUUCUAUUUAAUAGAAAAAAGAUAUGGUUGUUAACUCAGCUGACGCGUCAUCUCUUACGGACAAUAUGGUUGUUGCUAAAUUGAUGUAACGAUUAAAUUAGCUCACAUGUUAUUGACACAGGAACAAAUGUGUGUACUUCUUAAUUAUGUAUUUGUACCCAUUUGUAUGCGUAACAUCUAUAUCCAAAUCUGAAUCCGUCCCCGACUAGUUGAAUAAUAUCGCAUUCAUUUUCGCCCCUAGAUUGGAGCCCGAAAAGUCAAACUAACCUAUUUAAUUGGAAGUAUAUCUAUACCUAUACCUAUACCUAUACAUUAUUUCUCAUGGAGUUUGCUACGUGGCAAUUCCUCCUUUACUUUCCUUCCUACUCCCUGAUGCUUCGUCUUCCCACCCUCAUCUCUACCCAAUUCUUCCUCUUCCCACCCACCUAUUUUCUAAUUAAUGUAUUCACAUGAUCCAUUUUCAUCUAAAUAAAUCGCUUCUAAAAAAAAGUAAAAUAAGAUCUUUUAUACUCCUUUUUAUCACAUUUUUUCUUUUUUCUUUUUUUUUUUUGCACAAGAAGGGUUCAUUUUUUGUAUUUUUCUUAAUCUUUUUUUCUAUUUUUUUAAAGUGUGUGGAGAUUGAAAUUAGGGUUCCAAGGAUCACGGCGAGGUGAAGUGCGAUGGAUUUAGAGUUGAUGAAAGGGAAGAAGCCGUGACUGUGGGGGAAUCCGUACGGCAUCGACGUGGCUGUAACCAAGAAGAAGCUCGACGCCGACAAUGACGGUGGAGGCAAUGUGGAGAAUGGGAAUCGUCUCCCCGAUCUCAGCAGCGCGACCAAGGUGCGUAUGUAGUAGUAAUUCUAUUACCGCUUCUUUCAUUAUUGUUAUAUAUAAUUUAUUUGUUGUUAUAAGUUUUGUUAUAUUUGUACAUAUCUGUUUUAUAUUUUCUAUCCGUAUUUAUUGAUAUCUCAUGAUAAGUUAAAUUUUUUAAAAUUUUAACUCUUUUAAUCUUUUAUUUUUUAUAGAAUUAGUCUGCCGCAAUGCGCAGGUAAUUUUAUAAAAAAAAAAAUAUGUAGUAAAAAAGAUUACUCGUUUUCUGAUAUUUUGAAGUUUUAUUUCAAUCACUCUGCGUGUGUGCAGCUUAUUGAGACUUCAACUUUUCCAAAACAAAGUUAAUUACAAAAAAAUGUCACAAGGAGAGAGAAAAAUAUAAAAUAGGAAUCAAGGAGAUUAAAAAGUCACAAGACAUAGAAAGUAUGAAAGAUUCAAAAUUUCAGAGUCAAUUUAUGACAAGUCAUAGGUCACCAAGAGAAACAAGAGAAUUUUCUUGCACAUCUCUCAUGGGCAUUGCUAUGGGCACACCCCUAAGUGUCCCUCUUAGAGUCCCCAAUUUAUAUUUCAAGUUGUGAAAUAACUAAUUGGUCUAAAACAGUAUCAUUUUUUAAGAUCAAUACUUUUCGAUAGGGCCAAGAUAAGCACUUUAAACAGUACCCCUUUUUUAAGGCUCGAGAUUUCAAGAGAAAAUAUAUUGAGAAUUAAACUAAAAAAUAUUCAAACUCUGAAUCUUCUACUAUGAUAUUAUGUGCAACAAUCAAUUACUUUCAAAACUUAAUUAAAUUGACAGAGAAUGGCGUCUCUAAUAUCUACCUUCAACACGGAUGUCUACAUAAGUUUAGUCUUUAUUAUCUAUGACAAUUGGGGUACCUUAGAAAAGUACACAAGUUAAUUUCCAUAUUUUUCAUCUCUCUCAAAGGCUAAUAAUCCACAGUGCAUUAGGUUAGUCAACUUGACCAACACAGACUAUGAAACUCCUCUUGCCUAUGACAAAGUCUUUGCUUCUCCCAUUCUCUCUAAUCCAUUUCAAUUUAUAAAUACCUCCUCCAAAUUUUUAUUUUUAUUUUGUUUUAUAAAAAGAGAGAGAGAGAGAAAGAGGUUAUAGAAAUAUACAUAGGAACUAAGAAGAAGAAAAGGUGGAUACUCCAUAAAAGUUAUAAUAGAAGGAAUGGAGAGGUAUGCAAAUCUCUUUAUCUCCUUCUCCUUGCUGUUCUUGUUCUUAAAUUACUCCUUGUUUGUUUGUAAGUCUAUGGCCUCAUCACUCCAACUCAACCAUGACCAAAUAAACAUCAUGGCAAAUCUCUCCAAGAGCCUCUUCCCAAAUUCAUACCAUAACUGGAACACCAGUGACCCAAAUCCUUGCCUUUGGGACAGGGUCACUUGCUCCGCCGGCACCUCGACCGUCGUGACCGGCCUCUCCCUCUCCAAUCUCAGUAUCCCCACUGCCGCCAAUGUCGGCGACUUCUUUAGCAUUCUUUGUCGCCUCGACACCUUACAAAACCUCGACUUCUCGCAAAACUACAUAGCCAUGAUACCUGAUUCGUUUUUCUCCAAUUGCACCGGCCUGUCCGGGUUGAAGUCCCUCGAUCUCAGCUCCAAUGAAUUGACCGGCCCAGUUCGUAAUUUCUCGAGCUUUGCCAGUUUGGAGACUCUGGACUUGUCCUAUAACUCCUUACAAGGAACUGUUGAAACCCAGUUGAGUUCCUUAUCCAAAUUGAAAAGCUUGAAUCUUGGCUCUAAUUUCUUGAUUGGAACCAUCCCCACUUUCAUCGUCGACGGUAGAAGAGUUGCGGUCUUUGAAGAGCUUGUGCUUUCGCAUAAUCAAUUCACUGGCACGAUACCCAGUGAGAUUUUUGAGUAUGAGAAUCUUACUAUGCUGGAUCUCAGAGGAAAUAGCCUAUCUGGGACUAUACCAGAAGAGAUUGAAAAGCUCUCCAAUUUGAAAACUCUCACCCUUUGUACGAAUCAACUGACCGGAAAAGUUCCGGCUACUUUAUCCAAUAUCACAACGCUCUUUCACUUCGCAGCUGACGGAAACAACUUAACUGGAAAUAUUCCAAG
RNAcentral lists this long non-coding RNA (16967 nucleotides) under Ananas comosus (pineapple). Its description in RNAcentral is "long non-coding RNA (ACOM_LNC028841)". Lineage: Eukaryota; Viridiplantae; Streptophyta; Magnoliopsida; Poales; Bromeliaceae. The record is from RNAcentral.